AGUGAACGCUGGCGGUAGGCCUAACACAUGCAAGUCGAACGGCAGCACAGUAAGAGCUUGCUCUUACGGGUGGCGAGUGGCGGACGGGUGAGGAAUACAUCGGAAUCUACUUUUUCGUGGGGGAUAACGUAGGGAAACUUACGCUAAUACCGCAUACGACCUACGGGUGAAAGCAGGGGAUCUUCGGACCUUGCGCGAUUGAAUGAGCCGAUGUCGGAUUAGCUAGUUGGCGGGGUAAAGGCCCACCAAGGCGACGAUCCGUAGCUGGUCUGAGAGGAUGAUCAGCCACACUGGAACUGAGACACGAACCAGACUCCUGCGGGAGGCAGCAGUGGGGAAUAUUGGACAAUGGGCGCAAGCCUGAUCCAGCCAUACCGCGUGGGUGAAGAAGGCCUUCGGGUUGUAAAGCCCUUUUGUUGGGAAAGAAAAGCAGCAGGUUAAUACCCCGCUGUUCUGACGGUACCCAAAGAAUAAGCACCGGCUAACUUCGUG
RNAcentral lists this ribosomal RNA (492 nucleotides) under uncultured bacterium. RNAcentral's name for it is "partial 16S ribosomal RNA". It matches the Rfam family "Bacterial small subunit ribosomal RNA", at positions 29 to 507 of the family's 1533-position model. The record is from RNAcentral.